UACGAAGAGGGCUAGCGUUGCUCGGAAUCACUGGGCGUAAAGCGCACGUAGGCGGCUUGUUAAGUCAGGGGUGAAAUCCUGGAGCUCAACUCCAGAACUGCCUUUGAUACUGGCGAGCUUGAGUUCGGGAGAGGUGAGUGGAACUGCGAGUGUAGAGGUGAAAUUCGUAGAUAUUCGCAAGAACACCAGUGGCGAAGGCGGCUCACUGGCCCGAUACUGACGCUGAGGUGCGAAAGCGUGGGGAGCAAACAGG
Molecule: ribosomal RNA, 253 nt
Filed under: uncultured bacterium
Lineage: Bacteria
Description: partial 16S ribosomal RNA
Rfam family: Bacterial small subunit ribosomal RNA
Source: RNAcentral